UGGAUUGAGAGCUUGCUCUCAAGAAGUUAGCGGCGGACGGGUGAGUAACACGUGGGUAACCUGCCCAUAAGACUGGGAUAACUCCGGGAAACCGGGGCUAAUACCGGAUAAUAUUUUGAACUGCAUGGUUCGAAAUUGAAAGGCGGCUUCGGCUGUCACUUAUGGAUGGACCCGCGUCGCAUUAGCUAGUUGGUGAGGUAACGGCUCACCAAGGCAACGAUGCGUAGCCGACCUGAGAGGGUGAUCGGCCACACUGGGACUGAGACACGGCCCAGACUCCUACGGGAGGCAGCAGUAGGGAAUCUUCCGCAAUGGACGAAAGUCUGACGGAGCAACGCCGCGUGAGUGAUGAAGGCUUUCGGGUCGUAAAACUCUGUUGUUAGGGAAGAACAAGUGCUAGUUGAAUAAGCUGGCACCUUGACGGUACCUAACCAGAAAGCCACGGCUAACUACGUGCCAGCAGCCGCGGUAAUACGUAGGUGGCAAGCGUUAUCCGGAAUUAUUGGGCGUAAAGCGCGCGCAGGUGGUUUCUUAAGUCUGAUGUGAAAGCCCACGGCUCAACCGUGGAGGGUCAUUGGAAACUGGGAGACUUGAGUGCAGAAGAGGAAAGUGGAAUUCCAUGUGUAGCGGUGAAAUGCGUAGAGAUAUGGAGGAACACCAGUGGCGAAGGCGACUUUCUGGUCUGUAACUGACACUG
This 697-nucleotide ribosomal RNA is filed under the name uncultured Bacillus sp. Its description in RNAcentral is "bacterial SSU rRNA". It matches the Rfam family "Bacterial small subunit ribosomal RNA", at positions 68 to 748 of the family's 1533-position model. The record is from RNAcentral. Lineage: Bacteria; Bacillati; Bacillota; Bacilli; Caryophanales; Bacillaceae.